AUUGAACGCUGGCGGAAUGCUUUACACAUGCAAGUCGAACGGCAGCACGGGGGCAACCCUGGUGGCGAGUGGCGAACGGGUGAGUAAUACAUCGGAACGUGCCCGGUCGUGGGGGAUAACGUAGCGAAAGUUACGCUAAUACCGCAUACGAUCUGAGGAUGAAAGCGGGGGACCUUCGGGCCUCGCGCGAUCGGAGCGGCCGAUGUCAGAUUAGGUAGUUGGUGGGGUAAAGGCCUACCAAGCCGACGAUCUGUAGCUGGUCUGAGAGGACGACCAGCCACACUGGGACUGAGACACGGCCCAGACUCCUACGGGAGGCAGCAGUGGGGAAUUUUGGACAAUGGGCGCAAGCCUGAUCCAGCCAUUCCGCGUGCAGGACGAAGGCCUUCGGGUUGUAAACUGCUUUUGUAUGGAACGAAAAGGCUCUGGCUAAUACCUGGGGCUCAUGACGGUACCGUAAGAAUAAGCACCGUCUAACUACGUG
RNAcentral lists this ribosomal RNA (484 nucleotides) under uncultured bacterium. RNAcentral describes it as "partial 16S ribosomal RNA". It matches the Rfam family "Bacterial small subunit ribosomal RNA", at positions 30 to 507 of the family's 1533-position model. The record is from RNAcentral.